AGAGUUUGAUCCCUGGCUCAGAUUGAACGCUGGCGGCAGGCCUAACACAUGCAAGUCGAGCGGAUGACAGGAGCUUGCUCCUGAAUUCAGCGGCGGACGGGUGAGUAAUGCCUAGGAAUCUGCCUGGUAGUGGGGGACAACGUUUCGAAAGGAACGCUAAUACCGCAUACGUCCUACGGGAGAAAGCAGGGGACCUUCGGGCCUUGCGCUAUCAGAUGAGCCUAGGUCGGAUUAGCUAGUUGGUGAGGUAAUGGCUCACCAAGGCGACGAUCCGUAACUGGUCUGAGAGGAUGAUCAGUCACACUGGAACUGAGACACGGUCCAGACUCCUACGGGAGGCAGCAGUGGGGAAUAUUGGACAAUGGGCGAAAGCCUGAUCCAGCCAUGCCGCGUGUGUGAAGAAGGUCUUCGGAUUGUAAAGCACUUUAAGUUGGGAGGAAGGGCAUUAACCUAAUACGUUAGUGUUUUGAMGUUACCGACAGAAUMAGCNCCGGCUAACUCUGUGCCAGCCNCCGCGGUAAUAC
Molecule: ribosomal RNA, 524 nt
Filed under: Pseudomonas sp.
Lineage: Bacteria; Pseudomonadati; Pseudomonadota; Gammaproteobacteria; Pseudomonadales; Pseudomonadaceae
Description: bacterial SSU rRNA
Rfam family: Bacterial small subunit ribosomal RNA
Source: RNAcentral